RNAcentral lists this ribosomal RNA (483 nucleotides) under uncultured bacterium. RNAcentral's name for it is "bacterial SSU rRNA". It matches the Rfam family "Bacterial small subunit ribosomal RNA", at positions 501 to 986 of the family's 1533-position model. The record is from RNAcentral.
CUACGUGCCAGCAGCCGCGGUAAUACGGAGGAUGCGAGCGUUAUCCGGAUUUAUUGGGUUUAAAGGGAGCGCAGGCGGGAGUGUAAGUCAGCUGUUAAAUAUCAGGGCCCAACUCUGUUAUGCAGUUGAAACUGUAUUUCUUGAGUACGCACAGGGAUGGCGGAAUUCAGGGUGUAGCGGUGAAAUGCUUAGAUAUCCUGAAGAACUCCGAUCGCGAAGGCAGCCAUCCGGAGCGUAACUGACGCUGAGGCUCGAAGGUGCGGGUAUCGAACAGGAUUAGAUACCCUGGUAGUCCGCACGGUAAACGAUGAAUACUCGCAGUUCGGCCUUUAUGGUCGAGUUGUCCAGCGAAAGCGUUAAGUAUUCCACCUGGGGAGUACGCCGGCAACGGUGAAACUCAAAGGAAUUGACGGGGGCCCGCACAAGCGGAGGAACAUGUGGUUUAAUUCGAUGAUACGCGAGGAACCUUACCCGGGCUUGAAC